AAAAAUUGAAUAUAUGAAGUUCUUUAAUAUGCUGAAUUUAACCAUGUACUUAGAUUUUUGAUUAUGGGCCCAGUUUUUAAGUUGGUCCAAAUCGGGGUUCAAAAUUAAACUUUGUUUGAAUUUAACAAAAAUUGAAUAUAUGAGGUUCUUCAAUAUGCUGAAUUUAACCAUGUAUUUAGAUUUUUAAUAUUUGGGCCCGGUUAUCAAAUUGGUCCACAUUGAGGUCUAAAGGGUCUAGAAUUGAACAUUAUUUAAUUUUAUCAAAAAUUGAAAUCUUGGGGUUCUAUGAUAUGCUGAAUCAAACCAUGCAUUUAGAUUUUGGAUAUUGAACCAUAAUAGGUAAAUGUCCAAUUUAAUUUUUUUUUAAGUUUUUAUACGACCGCAAAUUUUGAAAAAAUUUUCGUCGUAUAUUGCUAUCACGUUGGCGUCGGCGUCGUCGUCGUCGUCCGGCGUCCGAAUACUUUUAGUUUUCGCACUCUAACUGUAGUAAAAGUGAAUAGAAAUCUAUGAAAUUUUAACACAAGGUUUAUGACCAUAAAAGGAAGGUUGGUAUUGAUUUUGGGAGUUUUGGUCACAACAUUUUAGGAAUUAGGGGCCAAAAAGGGCCCAAAUAAGCAUUUUCUUGGUUUUCGCACCAUAACUUUAGUUUAAGUUAAUAGAAAUCUAUGAAAUUUUGACACAAGGUUUAUGACCACAAAAGAAAGAUUGGGAUUGAUUUUGGGAGUUUUGGUUUCAAUAGUUUAGGAAUAAGGGGCCAAUAAAGGGCCCAAAUAAGCAUUUUUCUUGGUUUUUGCACAAUAACCUUAGGUUAAGUAAAUAGAAAUCUAUGAAAUUUAAACACAAUGUUUAUGACCACAAAAGGAAGGUUGGUAUUGAUUUUGGGAGUUUAUGACCCAACAGUUUAGGAAUUAGGG
RNAcentral lists this long non-coding RNA (914 nucleotides) under Mytilus galloprovincialis (Mediterranean mussel). Lineage: Eukaryota; Metazoa; Mollusca; Bivalvia; Mytilida; Mytilidae. The record is from RNAcentral.